GAUGAACGCUGGCGGCGUGCCUAAUACAUGCAAGUAGAACGCUGAAGGAAGGAGCUUGCUCUUUCCGGAUGAGUUGCGAACGGGUGAGUAACGCGUAGGUAACCUGCCUGGUAGCGGGGGAUAACUAUUGGAAACGAUAGCUAAUACCGCAUAACAGUAGAUGUUGCAUGAUAUCUACUUAAAAGGUGCAAUUGCACCACUACCAGAUGGACCUGCGUUGUAUUAGCUAGUUGGUGAGGUAACGGCUCACCAAGGGGACGAUACAUAGCCGACCUGAGAGGGUGAUCGGCCACACUGGGACUGAGACCCGGCCCAGACUCCUACGGGAGGCAGCAGUAGGGAAUCUUCGGCAAUGGACGGAAGUCUGACCGAGCAACGCCGCGUGAGUGAAGAAGGUUUUCGGAUCGUAAAGCUCUGUUGUAAGAGAAGAACGAGUGUGAGAGUGGAAAGUUCACACUGUGACGGUAUCUUACCAGAAAGGGACGGCUAACUACGUG
Molecule: ribosomal RNA, 497 nt
Filed under: uncultured bacterium
Lineage: Bacteria
Description: partial 16S ribosomal RNA
Rfam family: Bacterial small subunit ribosomal RNA
Source: RNAcentral